CAUUUUUAACCAUUUAAUAACUAUGGUAAAGCUAACAUAACUAAUGGUAGGGGUAUAGAUGAUAAUUUUCUAUAUUCACAAGAGUAUAGGUGAUAUUUAAAACUUUAGAGGGGAAUCCAGGGUAUGAAUGAAAUUGCCCUUUUAUAUAUAGGACUUAUAUCAAAUCCUAUAAGUGUCGUAUUCCUUUCUCUUUUAAACCUUGAUGUUCUCAUUAGGCUCAAACUCAUUUAUAAAUAUCAGACGAUGUAAGACUUAUCUUAUAUUUUCGGCUAGUGACUAAUUAGCACUAAUAUAAAUUGUAACAUCCUACUUUCCAGGAUGUCAUUUAUCAUAGGACUACUCUAGUCCCAGUAUACUUUUCUUAACCUCUUAUGCCUAACCACUAUCUAAAAUGCUAUAGUCGGAAAAAGAGACUUAAUUAGCUCUAUUGUAUGUCGUGUAUAUAUAUAUAUAUAUAUAUAUAUAUAUAUAUAUGAGUGAGGCUACUAUGCUAUCGGAAGCGAAAAAUUCUAGAAUGCACCGGGUGCAUUGGUGACCUGGCGUCACAAACCAAUCAAAUUUUUAUUUUUAGAGAUAUAUGUCCCAUCAUGAUUGUAAAAAAAUAUUUUUAUUGUACUUUUAUUUGAAAAGAAGGGAUGUGAUUAGCUUGUUAUUGAUGACGUGGUGCAAGUGUGACAGUGUAGAAUCCCUCAUCGGAAGCACGGAGCCUUCCGUGCUUCCAGCUCGUUUUCGAUGUUGCGACUUUCGAAUCGUCGAUCGGCUCCGUUAAACUUGAUCUAGAGUAUUUGGAGUACCUAGAAAAUAAAAUUUAUUAUUUUUCGAUAUUAUUUGCCUAGUGAUCGAAUAGGCUCAAAAUCAACAAAUUUCAAUGGCCGUAGUGAGCCGUUUGCAAGUUUAACGGUAUAGAAAUAUCCAAAUCACGUGAAAUUUUGAUAGAAAAUUCUUUAUACUAUAUAAAACAAGAUCAAUAUCUUUGAUUUAAAAUUUUAAUGUCACAUUAUUACAUUUUAUAAGAUUUUUAUUUUCAGCCGUUGAUUUUGAGCCCCUUCGUUCACUAGGCAAAUGAUAUCGUAAAAUCAUAAAAUUUAUUUUCUAGGUACUCCAAAUACUCUAGAUCAAGUUUAACGGAGCCGAUCGACGAUUCGAAAGUCGCAACAUCGAAAACGAGCUGGAAGCACGGAAGGCUCCGUGCUUCCGAUAGCAUAGUAGCCUCGCUCUAUAUAUAUAUACCAAAUUAAUCUCU
RNAcentral lists this long non-coding RNA (1243 nucleotides) under Ananas comosus (pineapple). RNAcentral's name for it is "long non-coding RNA (ACOM_LNC021986)". The record is from RNAcentral. Lineage: Eukaryota; Viridiplantae; Streptophyta; Magnoliopsida; Poales; Bromeliaceae.